Molecule: ribosomal RNA, 328 nt
Filed under: uncultured bacterium
Lineage: Bacteria
Description: bacterial SSU rRNA
Rfam family: Bacterial small subunit ribosomal RNA
Source: RNAcentral
CGUGUAGGCGGUGCGAUAAGUCGGGCGUGAAAUCCCCGGGCUUAACCCGGGGCGGUCGCUCGAAACUGUCGUGCUCGAGGGUGGGAAAGGGAAGUGGAAUUCCCGGUGUAGCGGUGAAAUGCGUAGAUAUCGGAAGGAACACCUGCGGCGAAGGCGGCUUCCUGGACCAUUACUGACGCUGAGGCGCGAAAGCUAGGGGAGCAAACAGGAUUAGAUACCCUGGUAGUCCUGGCCCUAAACGUUGAGCACUGGAUGUAGCCCUUCACCGGGCUGUGUCGAAGCUAACGCAUUAAGUGCUCCGCCUGGGGAGUACGGUCGCAAGGCUGAA